GUUUUUUUUACCACGUUUCUUGAAAAACGUGUUCCAAUAUUCAACUUGGCUAAAUUCUUCGUGCGUUUUUGGUAAUAUAUUCAUAUUUUCUAUGUUUUAAUUAUAUUUACAAAUUGGACAACAUACAAACAAAAUACAGAAUAUAGGUUGGAGAAAAAGAAGGGUAUGGAGGAAGAAAGGCAAAAAGAAAUGUUUCGUCCAUCUAAGAGUGCUGGAUUAGAACCAGGUUCUAUCAGAGGCAAAACCUGGUAGAGGACACAUCAGUAAAGCUACCUUUUUAAAUACAAUUGAAGUUACUAUCAGCUUAAUAAAUGUUUAUUAUGAGAAUUGUAUUUAUCUUAUGAUAAUAAUAAAAAGCGGACAAAACUUGUAA
Molecule: long non-coding RNA, 373 nt
Organism: Bombus pyrosoma
Lineage: Eukaryota; Metazoa; Arthropoda; Insecta; Hymenoptera; Apidae
Exons: 2
Source: RefSeq, a predicted model, not a curated record